AACCCACGUAUGUUGAAAAAUGCGGGGAUGACGUGUGGCUAGGGGUGAAAGGCCAAUCAAACUCGGAAAUAGCUGGUUCUCCGCGAAAUCUAUUUAGGUAGAGCGUCGUACGAAUACCUCGGGGGGUAGAGCACUGGAUGGGUAAUGGGGCCCCACAGGCUUACUGAUCCUAACCAAACUCCGAAUACCCGAGAGUAAUAUACGGCAGACACACUGCGGGUGCUAACGUCCGUAGUGGAGAGGG
RNAcentral lists this ribosomal RNA (244 nucleotides) under Oxyrrhis marina. RNAcentral describes it as "partial Bacterial large subunit ribosomal RNA". It matches the Rfam family "Bacterial large subunit ribosomal RNA", at positions 777 to 1019 of the family's 2925-position model. Lineage: Eukaryota; Dinophyceae; Oxyrrhinales; Oxyrrhinaceae. The record is from RNAcentral.